GACAGUUUAGACUUAAUGUAUCAGGUCUUAUCAGACCUUUUCGGAAUCUCUUGACGCAGACGUAGACAUGGCCUACAAUUGACUAUUGUCAAAGCAAAGGGUAAUAAUCGAGCAGUGUUUUGGACACCUGAAACGACGCUUUCCUAUAUUGAAAAUUAUUGUUAGAUGACACAGAUAUCAGCCUGACAAACUGCCUGCCAAAUUUUGCUAUUUGCAAUACUGAAAAAGCCAGAGUAUCUGCUAAUCUCCAAAUAUCUGCUUUUUAUGAAGCAAUUGCUUGCAGGAAUAAGAUUGACAAUGAACGAUGACAACCAUUAUCACUACAAAAAGUUGGACCACUGGAUGCAUCGAUAGAGAGAGUAUUUUUUACCAAGGCGAAGUGCAUAUCACCUGGUCAUCUGAAAUGGGGAGCCACCAAUCCCAAGGCUCCAGGACCUGCAACUUUGCAUGUGGUCUUAGUACUGAAGUAUUUAUUGUACAUAUAAUAUAUAUUGUAGUAUUAUAUUAAAUUCCGCCUUAGAUAUUAA
This is a long non-coding RNA of Anthonomus grandis grandis, 527 nucleotides long. RefSeq lists it as uncharacterized. NCBI's taxonomy places the organism in Eukaryota, Metazoa, Arthropoda, Insecta, Coleoptera, Curculionidae. The transcript has 2 exons. The record is from RefSeq and is a predicted model, not a curated record.